Molecule: small nucleolar RNA, 77 nt
Organism: Eptesicus fuscus (big brown bat)
Lineage: Eukaryota; Metazoa; Chordata; Mammalia; Chiroptera; Vespertilionidae
Product: small nucleolar RNA SNORD115
Exons: 1
Source: RefSeq, a predicted model, not a curated record
GGGUCAAUGAUGAGAACACAUUGUCUCGAAGAGAGAUGAUGACCAAAAAAUUAUUCUCAGAAUCAGUCUUGAGGCCC